UCGCCUGCUGUGCCCGCCCCCGAGCCGGAGGCCAAGAAUUCUGCGCUGAACGAAUGAAUGAAUGAGCGCUCAUUCAACACCGCUUGGCACUGGCUUAUAAAUGAAAUAGUUCACUUAGGCCGGGAACUGUUUUCUCCAUCAUCCUCCACCUUCAGAUGUCUGUCCUUUUCCUGAGAUGCACAUUCAUGGGUUCACGAAGACUUCGGGAACCGACCCCGUCUUAAUUUGGGGUCCCUUGAAAGCAGAGCGUGAGCUGAGUGACCCCAGGAGGCAGGGAAGCAGAGGUCCGAGGAAGAACCACCUGGGUAUCCUGCCCUGCCGUAGGCAAAGGAGGGACUUAUUCAACCAGGAACUCUGGAAGCGAACAGAAUGCCUCCCAGAAUUGUCACCCCGAAGACGGGAGCUUCUUGCACGGCAUCCUUCUUGUGUGGCAUCUCCUGGUGAGGCCUGGCCCACCCCCAGAAAGGACGACAGAAUGAACGAGAGGGAUAAGGAUGCCAUUAUAUCAACCUCGGGCUACCUUUUCCAAAUCACGAAUUAGGGGGGAAAAUAACGCUGGUGAUGGUAAAGACGUGAGUGGACAUGGAAGACAAUUUUUCUUUUCUGAACUUCCUUCAAAAUGACAGGCUCCUUAAAGCAAAAAUACCAGUGCAUUCUGGGAUUCACAAUACAUAAAAGUGAAAUAAAUGACCACAAUAAUACAGAAGACA
This is a long non-coding RNA of Suricata suricatta (meerkat), 710 nucleotides long. RefSeq lists it as uncharacterized. The transcript is spliced from 3 exons. The record is from RefSeq and is a predicted model, not a curated record. NCBI's taxonomy places the organism in Eukaryota, Metazoa, Chordata, Mammalia, Carnivora, Herpestidae.